Molecule: transfer RNA, 75 nt
Filed under: Phaeognathus hubrichti (Red Hills salamander)
Lineage: Eukaryota; Metazoa; Chordata; Amphibia; Caudata; Plethodontidae
Description: tRNA-Asn
Source: RNAcentral
UAGACUAAGGCCUAGAUUGAUUUGGGUGUUUAGCUGUUAACUAAAAGGUUGUAGGAUAAAAACCUGCUAGUCUAG